GCGAGGCAAGGCCAUCAAUUAUUCAGCUCUGCCUCUCAGCCUCCUCUUGCUCUCAGUUAGUACCUCGUAAAGCCAGGGAAGAUAAAUCUCUCCCCUGGCUUCUGCGGCCCUGACUGGGAGCAGGGUGAGCACGGGCGAUGGCAGGCACUGGCCCCUGGUUCCUCCGGCCUCCUGGGGCCCUGAGCUGGCACAGUGCAACCCAGGCAGCCCUGUGAGCCUCCUCUGCUAUUAAACCCAUAAUUCAGGGGAGACUGACAGAGUGAGGCGCACUCGGUCCCCGUGAUGAGGAAAGAGCCGCCCAUCCAAGAACUGCGAGAGAGGCUGAGGUGAGGGCUGACGCCGGUCACACGCAGGUCUCGGUUUUCAGGGGCUGCAUUUAGAUCUGGAGCCCAGGCCCUUCUCCCAAGGAAUCUUGGAGCCCGGCUGCUCACAAGGAGACCGUGGAGGAUUCUGCAAGGGCCAAAGCAGCCAAGAAACGAGCAAGGCAAGCAAGGAACAGGAGAUGCCUGCGGGAAAUGCUGAGCCUGUCUGCAUGCUCUCAACCAUACCCGGGAUGCAGGGCGUGAAUGCUGCUCCACACUCUGUGCAGCCAGAGAGGCCGCGGACCUUGGAGACCACUUGGGUGUGGUACUUGCAGCCUGAACCUCCAGAACGACACUUGUCCCCAUGAAAACCGAUGACUUGGACAACCUGACGUCUUGGAGGUCCAGGGCCUUCAGGGGCACACCUUUCCCCAGCACUGCAGUGGCAGACCAGCGCCCCGACCGGCCGUCCUCGGACCGCUCAGCAUGCAGGAGGACUAGCCCCACGCGGCCGCUGUGCAGCUCGCCCGUGUCCCACAGCCAAUCUUCAAUCAGCCCCAAAGCCCCUGAAUUCCCCACAGCUCGGCCCACAGCACGGCCGGCUUUGGGUGCCACUGGCUACAUAUAUUGAACCUGAAGCAUCGGAUUGCAUAUUUGUUCAAUAGCAAUAAACUCC
RNAcentral lists this long non-coding RNA (978 nucleotides) under Fukomys damarensis (Damara mole-rat). RNAcentral's name for it is "lncRNA (ENSFDAG00000030485.1)". The record is from RNAcentral. Lineage: Eukaryota; Metazoa; Chordata; Mammalia; Rodentia; Bathyergidae.